This 721-nucleotide ribosomal RNA is filed under the name uncultured bacterium. RNAcentral describes it as "bacterial SSU rRNA". It matches the Rfam family "Bacterial small subunit ribosomal RNA", at positions 771 to 1501 of the family's 1533-position model. The record is from RNAcentral.
AACAGGAUUAGAUACCCUGGUAGUCCACGCCGUAAACGAUGGAUACUCGCCGUGGGCAAUAGAUCGUCCGCGGCUCAGCGAAAGCGGUAAGUAUCCCACCUGGGGAGUACGCCGGCAACGGUGAAACUCAAAGGAAUUGACGGGGGCCCGCACAAGUGGUGGAGCAUGUGGUUUAAUUCGAUGAUACGCGAGGAACCUUACCUGGGCUAGAAUGUGCGUGAAGGGCUCAGAAAUGGGUCCGUCCUUCGGGACACAAAACAAGGUGCUGCAUGGCCGUCGUCAGCUCGUGCCGUGAGGUGUUGGGUUAAGUCCCGCAACGAGCGCAACCCCCACAUUUAGUUGCCAGCGCGUCAAGGCGGGGACUCUAGAUGGACUGCCUCCGCAAGGAGUGAGGAAGGCGGGGACGACGUCAGGUCAUCAUGGCCCUUACGCCCAGGGCUACACACGUGCUACAAUGGCCGGUACAGCGGGUUGCGACACAGCGAUGUGAAGCCAAUCUCUCUAAAGCCGGUCUCAGUUCGGACCGGAGUCUGCAACUCGACUCCGUGAAGCUGGAAUCACUAGUAAUCGCGUAUCAGCAAUGACGCGGUGAAUACGUUCCCGGGCCUUGUACACACCGCCCGUCAAGCCAUGGAAGUUCGGUGGACCUGAAGACGGUGCGCGUUAUAGCAGCCGUUUAGGGUAAAACGAGUAACUGGGGCUAAGUCGUAACAAGGUAACC